GCUGGGUUUGGUGGCUCAUUCCUGUGGAACCCAUUACUUGGGAGGCUGGGGCAGGAGUAUCGCUCGAGUCCAGGAGUUCUGGGCUGCAGUGUGCUACGCCAAGUGGGCGUCCCCACUAAGUUCAGCAUCAACGUCCUUGGAAUGGGGGAUGAGGUGGCCUAAGGAGGGGUGAACCAGCCCAGGUCAGAAAUGGAUCAGGUCAAAACUCCUGUGCUGAUCAGUGCUAGGAUCGCACCUGUGAAUAGCCACUGCACUGCAGCCUGGGCAACAAAGUGAGACCCUGUCUCU
RNAcentral lists this signal recognition particle RNA (288 nucleotides) under Microcebus murinus (gray mouse lemur). Its description in RNAcentral is "Metazoan signal recognition particle RNA (ENSMICG00000027497.2)". It matches the Rfam family "Metazoan signal recognition particle RNA". Rfam says of the family: The signal recognition particle (SRP) is a universally conserved ribonucleoprotein. Lineage: Eukaryota; Metazoa; Chordata; Mammalia; Primates; Cheirogaleidae. The record is from RNAcentral.